AUUGGGGGAAGGGUGACAUCCGCUAUUGCUUGCAAUGGCAAUUCUAGUUAUUAUUAUUCUUCCAACUAUUUUGUCCGCCACUUUUCUCGGAGCCAAUGGAACCAAUCUUAAUGAUAGUUAUGUAUAAUAGGGAACACAAAAUUUCGGGUUGCAGUAGGGUCUAAGACCAUAAAAAAUGGCUGCCGUUUCCAUGGAAACGGAACAAUUGUGAAAAAUUCCACUUUUUGGUUUUUGUGAAUAAUUUGGAGAUGCUUAAACUCAGAAUCAUUAUAUUUUGAUACAAUGGAGGUGCCACCCAUAUACUGGUUUUGGAUGAUUUUGGCAAUCAUUGGAACUACUAUGUUGCCAUGGAAACUACACCAAAAAUUUCAAAAAUAUGAAAAUGCUCCAAAUUUUUUGAAACUUUAGCAUAACGAUGAGCAACUUUGGUAGAUGUGGAAUUUGGCGUUGGAAUUUCCAAAAUGUCUGCCGUUUCCAUGGAAACAAUGCAAAAAGGUCAAAUGCUCCAAAAACACUCCGGGUUUGGUGAAUAACUUUGGUAUGCUUGAACUUAAAAUCAUCAAAUUUUAAUGGAAUAUAGUUGUCCACUAUAUCCAGGUUUUGAAUGAUUUUGACAAUCAUUGGAACUACUAUGUUACCAUGGAUACAGGAUCAAAUAUUUCAAAAAUUUCAAAAUGCUCCAAAAUUAAUGAAACUUAAUAUGAUUGUUGACUGUCAAGACUGCAUCAGACUUUUGAAGUUGGAAUUUCCAAAAUGGCCACCGUUGCCAUGGAAACUGCAAAAAUGUCAAAUAUUUUCGAAAUGCUCCAAACUUAAUGAAACUUAAUAUUAUUGUUAGCUGGCAUGUAUAGAUGAGAUUUUUGACUUUGGAAUUUUCAAAAUGGCUGCCGUUGCCAUGGAAACAGCAGAAAUAUGAAACUUUUUACAAUGGUCUAAAUGUACUGAAAAUUUAUAGAAAGAUAUAUCGCAAUUCAUAGAUCUGCAUUCACUGUUAAAUUGUUUUCAAAUGGCUGCCGCUUAGUGGCAAAGGGGAAGGGUGACAUCCGCUAUUGCUUGCAAUGGCAAUUCUAGUUCUUU
RNAcentral lists this long non-coding RNA (1077 nucleotides) under Mytilus galloprovincialis (Mediterranean mussel). The record is from RNAcentral. Lineage: Eukaryota; Metazoa; Mollusca; Bivalvia; Mytilida; Mytilidae.